Molecule: ribosomal RNA, 1136 nt
Filed under: Gloeochaete wittrockiana
Lineage: Eukaryota; Glaucocystophyceae; Gloeochaetales; Gloeochaetaceae
Description: partial Bacterial large subunit ribosomal RNA
Rfam family: Bacterial large subunit ribosomal RNA
Source: RNAcentral
GGCGCAUGGUGGAUGCCUUGGCAUCAGAGGCCGAUGAAGGACGUGGGAGGCUGCGAUAUGCCUCGGGGAGCUGCCAACCGAGCGUUGAUCCGAGGAUGUCCGAAUGGGGAAACCCAGCACGAGUGAUGUCGUGUUACCCGUAUCUGAAUUCAUAGGGUGCGGGAGGUAACGCGGGGAAGUGAAACAUCUCAGUACCCGUAGGAAGAGAAAACAAUAGUGAUUCCGUGAGUAGUGGCGAGCGAAAGCGGAGGAUGGCUAAACCGUAUGCAUGUGAUACCGGGUAGGGGUUGUGUGUGCGGGGUUGUGGGACCUUAUUUUCCGGGGCUACCUUCCUGGAGGGCAGUGAGAAAGUGUCGUGGUUAGCGGAAAUGGCUUGGGAUGGCCUGCCGUAGACGGUGAGAGCCCGGUACGUGAAAACCCGACACCUGCCUUGAUUUGUGUUCCCGAGUAGCAGCGGGCCCGUGAAAUCUGCUGUGAAUCUGCCGAGACCACUCGGUAAGCCUGAAUACCUUCUGAUGACCGAUAGCGGAUUAGUACCGUGAGGGAAUGGUGAAAAGUACCCCGGGAGGGGAGUGAAAUAGUACCUGAAACCGUGUGCCUACAAGCCGUCAGAGCCCUCCUUCGUGGUGGGGUGAUGGCGUGCCUUUUGAAGAAUGAGCCUGCGAGUCAGGGACAUGUCGCGAGGUUAACCCGUGUGGGGUAGCCGCAGCGAAAGCGAGUCUGAAUAGGGCGUUGAGUUAGUAGGAUUAGACGCGAAACCUUGUGAUCUACCCAUGGGCAGGUUGAAGCUUUGGUAACACAAAGUGGAGGACCGAACCGGUUGACGUUGAAAAGUCUUCGGAUGACCUGUGGGUAGGGGUGAAAGGCCAAUCAAACUCCGUGAUAGCUGGUUCUCCCCGAAAUGCAUUUAGGUGCAGCGUCGUGUGUUUCUCACCGGAGGUAGAGCACUGGAUGGCCUAGGGGGCCGACAAGCUUACCGAAGUCAGCCAAACUCCGAAUGCCGGUGAGUGAGAGCGCGGCAGUGAGACUGCGGGGGAUAAGCUUCGUGGUCGAGAGGGAAACAGCCCAGAUCACCGGCUAAGGCCCCUAAGCGUGCGCUAAGUGGGAAAGGAUGUGGGAUCGCCCGGACAACCAGG